GCUUUGUCUGCGCAGGAUAGGUGGGAGGCGCUGAAAAUUUUCUUGCGGGAAGAUUGGAGCCGUUGGUGAGAUACCACUCUAACAAUGCUAGGAUUCUAACCCUACACCGUUAUCCGGUUAGGGGACAGUUUCAGGUGGUCAGUUUGACUGGGGCGGUCGCCUCCCAAAAGGUAACGGAGGCGUGCAAAGGUUUCCUCAGGCUGGUCGGAAAUCAGUCGUAGAGUGUAAAGGCAUAAGGAAGCUUGAUUGUGAGACCUACAAGUCGAACAAAGACGAAAGUCGGCCUUAGUGAUCCGACGGUUCCGAGUGGAAGGGCCGUCGCUCAACGGAUAAAAGUUACUCUAGGGAUAACA
This 353-nucleotide ribosomal RNA is filed under the name uncultured eukaryote. RNAcentral describes it as "LSU rRNA". It matches the Rfam family "Bacterial large subunit ribosomal RNA", at positions 2127 to 2479 of the family's 2925-position model. The record is from RNAcentral.